UCGGGAAUUUUGGGCAAUGGGCGAAAGCCUGACCCAGCAACGCCGCGUGAAGGAUGAAGUAUUUCGGUAUGUAAACUUCGAAAGAAUAGGAAGAAUAAAUGACGGUACUAUUUAUAAGGUCCGGCUAACUACGUGCCAGCAGCCGCGGUAAUACGUAGGGACCAAGCGUUGUUCGGAUUUAUUGGGUUUAAAGGGUGCGUAGGCGGUUCUUUAAGUCAGUGGUGAAAUACAGCCGCUUAACGGUUGAGGUGCCAUUGAUACUGAAGAACUUGAGUACAGACGAGGUAGGCGGAAUUGACGGUGUAGCGGUGAAAUGCUUAGAUAUCGUCAAGAACACCGAUAGCGAAGGCAGCUUACUAGACUGUAACUGACGCUGAGGCACGAAAGUGUGGGGAUCAAACAGGAUUAGAUACCCAAGUAGUCCCUGAGCGGGCUGGCAAGGCGCAU
This 447-nucleotide ribosomal RNA is filed under the name uncultured bacterium. RNAcentral describes it as "bacterial SSU rRNA". It matches the Rfam family "Bacterial small subunit ribosomal RNA", at positions 355 to 825 of the family's 1533-position model. The record is from RNAcentral.